UGGGAAGGCCGUGAAUUCAUGCAGCAGGGGCAGUGCCUUCAACCCUGCACCAAAUGCUGAAAUUUGAGUAUGAAAAUCAGGAGAUUGUAGUUCAUGGAGAGGACGAUUAAUCAAUUUACGGGGACCUCUCUGUCCCCUGUCUAAAAUCCAAGUAAGGUAGUAAACACAUAGUCUAUCAAGCUUUUGAAGUUAGCACUUAAAAUCUUAAAUUGUAAACCCUGUUUAUCUUUCAAGUUCAAAGAAAUAAAACCAAUAUUUUCAUUUCUCCGCCUUUCUCUGAUUUUUGUCUUUCUUUAUUUUUCAUCUUUCCUUUCAGUCCCAAUAAGGCGACAUUAAAUAAAACGACAUGCUCGCGGACUUCUUGCCACGACCCAAACCUGCUUCCUAUCUUUGAAAUAAUGACCCGGGAACCGGAUUACGAUGAAGAAGAGGCUUUUGGCAAAUCACUCGAGAAUUGGAACACUUUGAGAACAAACCUAAGCCUAACUUAAAUUAUACUGAACCGGUUAACCUGGGCGAUCUCAAUGAAAUCAAAGAAACUAAAAUAAGCAUCCACGUAAAUAAAGAGAUACGUGAUUCGUUGGUUCAACUCUUGUUUGAAUUCAAGGACGUAUUUGCGUUGUCAUAUGAUGACAUGCCUGGUCUGAGUAUGGAUUUGGUGGUUCAUAAGUUUCCUACAUACCCCGAAUGCCCUCUAGUACAACAAAAGCAAAAAAAGUUCAAGCCAAAAGUGAAUGAUAAAAUCAAAGAGGAAAUUACAAAAUAUCUUGAAGCACGGGUAAUCCGGGUAGUUCGGUACACCACAUGGCUGGCUAAUGUGGUCCCUGUGCCAAAGAAGGAUGGGAAAACUCGAGUGUGUGUGGAUUAUAGAGAUCUGAAUAAGGCAAGUCCCAAGGAUAACUUCCCUUUACCCAACAUCCACAUCAUCUCGAUAAUUGUGCCAAACAUGAGAUUCAAUCCUUUGUAGACUGCUAUGUGGGGUAUCACCAAGUGCUGAUGGAUGAGGAAGAUGUGGAGAAAACUGACUUCACCAUAGUCUAGGGAACAUAUUGUUAUAGAGUUAUACCUUUUGGAUUGAAAAACGCUGGGGCAACCUACAUGAGGGCUAUGACCACCAUCUUCCACGACAUGAUGCAAAGAGAAAUAGAGGUAUAUGUGGAUGACGAGAUUAUCAAAUCUAAAACUCAGGGCGAUCAUGUAAAGGACUUGAGAAAAUUCUUCGAAAGGCUCCGCAUAAAUAGAGGUAUACAUGGAUGACAUGAUUAUCAAAUCUAAAACUCAGGACGAUCAUGUAAAGGAUUUCAGGAAACUCUUCGAAAGGCUCCGCAAAUAUAAUUUGAAAUUGAAUCCGGCAAAAUGCGCAUUUGGAGUUCCUUCGGGCAAACUUCUUGGGUUCAUCGUCAGUCGGAGAGGCAUUGAAUUAGAUCCAACCAAGAUUAAAUCCAUAUGGGAGCUGCCCCCGCCAAAGACCAAAAAUGAUGUGAUGAGUCUAUUGGGGAGCCUAAAUUACAUCAGGUGGUUCAUCGCCCGAUUGACCUCAACAUGUGAUCCUAUAUUCUAACUGCUGAAGAGGAUGCAGCAAUUAAGUGCAUGGUCGAGUGUCAGGAACUUUUGAUAAAAUCUAACAAUACUUGUCAAAUCCACCAGUUUUAGUUCCGCCAGAACCAGGAAGGCCAUUGUUUCUCUAUCUGACGGUCUUAGAAGGCUCUUUCGGUUGUAUUAUUGGGCAUCAUGACGCCACGGGAAAGAAAGGGCAGGCCAUUUAUUAUUUGAGCAAAAAUUUCACCGGCUACGAGGCCAAGUACACAUUGUUGGAAAGAACGUGUUGCGCCUUGACAUGGGUAGCUCAAAAGCUAAGGCACUAUCUGCAAGCUCACACCAUGUACCUCAUAUCUAGGCUGGACCCAUUAAGGUACAUAUUUCAAAAGCCAAUGCCCACAGGGCGAGAGGCUAAAUGGCAGAUCCUGCUGACCGAGUUAGACAUCGUCUAUGUCACUCGUACGGCGAUGAAAGCUCAGUCAGUGGCAGAUGACCUAGCAGAAAACCCCGUUGAUGACAAAUAUCAGCCUUUAGACACUUACUUCCCUGACGAAGAAGUAAACUCAUUGGAAAUAGCAGCUAAGAAACUCCCGUCUGGAAAAUGUUCUUCAACGAAGAGGCAAACACAAAUGGGGUAGGAGUCGUGGCAAUCUUCAUGCCACCCACAAGCCAGCAUUAUCCAGCUACAGGCAGACUGCGAUUCUUUUGCACUAACAAUACAGCUGAAUAUAAGGCUUGCAUUAUGGGCAUGAACAUGGCUAAUAACCAAGAGAUCGAAGAGUUGCUAAUCAUGGGGGAUUCCGAUCUAAUCAUCCGGCAAGCUCAAGGAGAAUGGGAGACAAGAGACAUUAAGCUCCUCCCGUAUAGACAGCAUGUCAAAGACCUCAACAAACGGUUCAGGUCGGUAGAGUUCAGGUACAUUCCCGUUGUCACAAUGAGUGAGCAGAUGCCCUCACAACUUUAGCUUCCAUGUUGCCAUACCAUGGGAAUGGCUAUGUCGAUCCGCUACAAAUCCAAAUCAAAGAAAAACAUGGGUAUUGUAAUGCAACCGAAGUAGAGCCUAACCCACAACCUUCAUAUUACGACAUCUUGAGAUUCCUAAUGACACAUGAGUACCCUGAGGAAGCUAUAGGAGAACAAAAGAAGACCAUCCGAUGGCAUGCGAGCAAUUUCUUCUUAAGUGCUGACACUUUGUAUAAAAGGACUCUGGAUCUUAAUUUGUUGAGAUGUGUGGACGCCGAAAAAGCUGGGAGAAUUAUGCACAAUGUACAUGCGGGCAUAUGUGGCCCCCAUAUGAAUGGCUAUGUAUUGGCAAAGAAGAUACUCCGAGCUGGUUAUUAUUGGAUGACCAUGGAGAAAGACUGCUUCAGCUAUGUACGGAAAUUUCAUCAAUGCCAGGUGCACGACGAUCUGAUUCAUGCACCACCAAAUCAGUUGCAUCCUAUCUCGGCACCCUGGCCAUUUGCUGCCUAGGGAAUGGACGUCAUUGGAUCAAUCGAGCCAAAGGCGUCAAACGGGAACAGAUUUAUAUUGGUCGCCAUUGAUUAUUUCACAAAAUGGGUUGAGGCCAUCUCCCUCAAGUCUGUUACCAAGAAAGCGGUGGUGGAUUUCGUGCAUUCCAACAUCAUUUACCGCAUUGGGAUCCUGGCUACCAUCAUUACUAACAAUGCAGCUAAUCUAAACAGUUGGCUGAUGGGGAGAUAUGUGAACAAUUACAAAUAACACAUAGAAACUCCACUCCCUACCGACCUAAAAUCGAAUGGUGCGGUAGAAGUAUACAAAAAGAACAUUAAGAAAAUCUUGAGGAAAAUGAUUCAAAGCUCGAGGUAGUGGCACGAAAAGUUGCCUUUCGCAUUGAUGGAAUAUCGUACUACAGUACGUACAUCUAUAGAGGCCACUCCAUAUUUGCCGGUCUAUGGAACUGAGGCUGUUACACCUGCCGAGGUAGAAAUCCCUUCACUCCGAGUGAUUGUUGAAGCAGAAAUCGAAGAUAUUGAAUGGGUCAAAACCCGAUUGGAGUAGCUUGCAUUAAUUGACAAAAAACGAAUGGACGAUGUGUGCCACGAGCAAUUGUACCAACAAAGAAUGACCCACGCCUAUGACGACAAAGUGCGCCCUAGGAAUUUUGAAGUCGGGCAGCUGGUUUUGAGAUGGAUACUUCCCCAUCAUCCGGAGGCCAAAAGAAAAUUCGCCCCAAAUUGGAAAGGCACGUACAUUAUCAGGAAGAUAUUGCCUAGAGGGGCAUUGUACUUGGGCGACGUUGAAAGAGACGAGCCCGAGGCAGCGGUGAAUGCCAACGCAGUAAAAAGGUAUUAUGUCUAAAAUCCCCUAAAGCAAUUACCCCGGUGGAUCUAUUCCCGUCCUCUUUGUAAUUCAAAACAAAGAGAGAAAAGAAAAUAAAAAAAAAAGAAGAAAAGAAAAUGCAAAAGAAAACAAAACAAAACAAAAAAGACAAAACAAAACAAAAAAAAAGAAGAAAAAAAAGAAACAAAAAGAGAAGAAGAGAAGAGAAUACAAAACAAAAUUAGUUUAUGAAACAUUUCCUGAACUACGUCUGACUUGAUUCCGAAAGGAUACUUAGGCAGCCUCUCCCUGAGGUCCAGCCACAUCAAAAUAAAAACCUCAUUUACCCAGAAAAUUAAAACUGGGCAGAAAUGUAUCAGUUCGGUUACAAAUCCUUCCAAAUGGUUACAAAGUCAUAGAUCCCCGGGAAAGAAAAUACCAUUUGUUGGGGUUCGGCAUCAAUCAAAUUUGUGAGAAAAAUAAAUGAGAGAGUCUUAUUGGUGAAAACCUCUAGCACUAUAAGGCGAUGGUGAGUAGAGAAAAACAAAUGAGAGUGUGUUUAGCAAAAACUCGCAAAGAGCGCUAUCGGGCGACGGGAGAAGAGAAAUGAGAGAGGCCGAUUGGCGAAAACACGCAAUGGGCGCCGUUGUCCAAAAAGAGGAAAUAGUGCUGCCUGGAUAUGAGAAUGUUUCUUUAAUUUUCGAAAGUUGAAGUCAGAAAGCUGAAAUGGAUUUGGGCUGGGUAUCCAGUCCAAGAAGCAUGUCGUCGCCAUAUAAAGCCGGCUCGUAUUUUCAGAUAAGUUCCCCCUUUUUCCUUCAAAGUGCAUACCUCUCUAAAUUCAUACUUCACUCCUUUCCACUUUAACUUCCUCGCCGUUCCUUAAAGAAAGGUGUUGAAACACGUUCUCAAGGCACUAAACUAAACGUGUGUUCAUAUUUGUAGGUUUUGAUAAAUGACAAACGAUGCGCAAUUGACAUAUGAUCACUCCUUUCCACUUUAACUUCCUCGCCAUUUCUUAAAGAAAGGUAGCAGGGCCAGCUUCGCGGUUUUAUCCUGGCAAGAAUUAGGGAAGUGACCGACAUCGUCAAGUAUUUUUGGUCAAUCCCAUUUGAUCAUGACAGUUAAUGGAUCAGGGUAAAGAAAUAGGAGAAGGAAAUUCAAAGUCAAAAGGCAUGAAAUUGAAGAAAAAUCGAGGGGUUUUAAGCCGAACAGGGUGUCAAUUCUUAUAGAAAGUCCCAAAAGUAAAUGCAAAAGCGGGACAAAACUCAUAACUCAACGCCCGAGAAGCAAAAACCAAUCCGAAAUGAGGACCCCCUAGCCAACUAAGCAAGGACGAAAAGCCGAGGGUUCGUUUUUGAAUACAAAGGAAGCUGAAAUCAAGCGUCACAAGGCCGCAAAAUCAAUCACUGUUCAAACUAACACUUUUGUUUUGUUUCUGGACUAAAAUAGGUGCAGUCGCAACUUAGCAAAACAAAAGGAACAUGAGGCAAAACCAACCAAGGAUAGGCACAAGGACCAAAGGUGCUGAUGCGUCACUGACCAAAGGGAAGUGUUCUUUUCAUUUUUUCUGCAAACUCGUAAAUGAGCAUGACAACACGAGAUCCCGAUCCCUAGUUCCCCUUUUAUAGCUUGUGGACUUCCUAGGAAUUACCAAAGGAUCGCAUUCCACCCCCUCUACUAUAAACCGAGGAAGUUUCCUUUCACAUCCUCAGCAUAACCUGAGGAUCUUCUCCCUACACUUCUUACUCCCCAGCGUAGUCUAGGAAUUAAUACUCCCCUACCCUUAGCAUAACCUAAGAGUUAUUCCUUUCCUCCUCUAUCCCCAACAAAGCCAAAAGGAUCUCCGAGGUCCUUCGGUGCCUUGCAUAUUUCCUAGCAUAACCCAGGAACCUUUUUCAUUCAUCCUGUCAUAACCCGUGGAUCUCCCUGGCAUAACCCAGGAAUCAUUUUUUGUUUUCAUCUCGGCAUAACCCCUGGAUGUUUCCUUUCAUCCAUAGCAAGGACCCUUCAUUUUCAUCCCGGCAUAACCCGCGGAUUCCCCUGACAUAACUCAGGAUCUGCUUUCAUCCCGGCAUAACCCGUGGAUCUCCCUAGCAUAACCUAGGACCUUUCAUUCAUCUGACAUAACCCGUGGAUCUCCCUAGCAUAACCUAGGACCUUCCAUUCAUCCAAGCAUAACCCGCGGACCACCCUAGCACAACCUAGGAUUUAUCCCUCAUCCCGGCAUAAAUCGUGGAUUCCCCAUACAUAACUCAGGAUCUCCCUUCAUCCCGACAUAACCCGGGGAUUUCCCUGAUAUAACUCAGGAUCUCUUUCGUCCCGGCAUAACCCGUGGAUUCCUCUAACAUAACUAAGGAUUUUCCUUUUAUCCCGGCAUAACCCACAGAUCUCCCUAGCAUAACCUAGGAUUUCUCACUCAUCCCGGCAUAACCGGUGGAUUCCCCUGACAUAACUCAGGAUCUCUUUUCAUCCCGGCAUAACCCGUGGAUUCCGCUAACAUAACUCAGGAUCUCCCUUCAUCUCGGCAUAAACCGUGGAUUCCCCUGACAUAACUCAGGAUCUCUUUUCAUCCCGGCAUAACCUGUGGAUCCCCCUGGCAAAACCCAGGAACCUUUUUUAUUCAUCCCGGCAUAACCCGCGGAUCUCCCUAGCAUAACCUAGGAUUUCUCCCUCAUCCCAACAUAACCCGCAGAUUUCCCUAGCAUAACCUAGGAUUCCUCACUCAUCCCGGCAUAACCCGUGGAUCCCCCUAGCAUAACCUAGGAUUGCUCUUUCAUCCCCGCACAACCCAUGGGUGUUUCCUUUCAUCCCCAGCAGGGAAUCUUCAUUAUCAUCCCGGCAUAACCCGCAGAUUCCCCUGGCAUAACUCAGGAAUUUCUUCAUAACCCAUCCUCAGCAGGAACUUUCCUAUCCUGGCAUAACCCGCGGAUUUCUUCUUUCUCUCCCCAUAGAGACCUUUUCAUUCUUAUCCCGGCAUAACCCGAGGAUUCCCAUUUUAUUCCCCAACAGGAACCACUUCUCCUCUCCAGUAUAACCUGGCGAUCUUUCCGAGGGAUACACAAUUCUGAUCCUUAUUGUCUUAAUAAAGAGUAGCAUAGAUGUGUGUUACAAAUAACUCACAAAAUUUUCCAGUGAAAACUGGGGCAAAAUACUUUGUUCGUUUGCUUGUUUUGCUUUCUGAGCAGGUGUCACCUUUAGGCACAAGAUCCGGCAUAAUUGAAAGCAUGAGUGUCAAUUCAGGACAGAAGAAAGAAAAAAGAGACAAAAGGUGAACUCAAAGUGAUGAGGCACACAAAGACACGUACUGCUCAAAAUAUAAUUGAAAUCACAAGCUCAGCAUACCUUGUUUUGUUUCAAGAUUGAAGAUUGAGCUAGCAGCUGCAAUUAACGAGCAUCAAGAUUCAGAUCGGAGUCUACCGCAAAAGAUAGCCGAGACUCAAGAUCGAGCUUCAAGAGACUCAUAGAUAGGAAUCUAGUAACUUGUAGUUGAUAGAUUCAUCUAGCUUAGUUUUGAUUUUCAUUCGGUGUAAUAAGGAGUUUAGUAAAUCAAGCUUCAAGAGACUCAUAGAUAGGAAUCUUGUAACUUGUAGUUGAUAGGUUCAACUAGUUUAGCUUUUGAUUUUCUUUUGGUGUAAUAAGGAGUUUAGCAAGUAGAAAUAGCAACAACAACAGCCAAUCACAGUCUUUCGGUAGUCCCAGCUACCAAAAGUUCAAGAACUACACUCCCCUGAUUCCUUUAUUGCUAAAGAUAUGUAGGCAACCUUUGAAGCAAGGUUCAGUCAGAAAUUUUUCAAAAUGCUUCACGUGGAGUAUUCAAUUAGACAGAAAUCGCUCAUAUUUGCUCACCUGUCUUUGCAAAAAAACCCUUCGUGUUCCAGCGCAAAGAGGGGAAGCUAUGAGCAUAUGAUUUUUGACCGGUCGGAAAAAGCUCCUACAGGACUCUUAAAGAAUAGGAAUAUUCUUUUAAUGUUAGGAUUUUAAUUUUUAGGAUUUAACUGCAUGUGCAUGUUCAUUACUGCAUGUUUAAAAUGGUUUAAGAUUUAAUUGUAGUUUAUUUUUGAUAAUUAGGAAUUUGUUGGUUUUUCUUUUUAAAGAUUAGUAAUUAAUUUAACUUAAAAGAAAAAGAAAAAAAUAUAUGUAUAUAAACAGCCACUCAGGCUGACCACAGUUGGGUCAGACCUGAGUGGCCCAACCUGUCUUUUCCCUUUAAUACAAUACACAACCCAGUCCCAAAUUAUCGCCCCAGUCCAUGUCCACACCCAUUGAACUAAACGACACUGUUUAGAAGCCCCAUCAUCACAGUCGUUGAUCCCCAUCUCAUCCAACGGCCACGGAAGCCUCCCCCAUUUUGUAUACAUAUGUCCAAACACCUCUAAUACACAUAAGAGACCAAACAUUACCUUCCUCGUACCAUCCACCAUCGACCCAACAACUUCUGUUGACCACCCCACUAUCUCUAAUACACAUUAGAGACAAACAAUCCCCUCCUCGUACCGUUCUUCUCCAACCUAACAACACUCAUUGAUCACCCCAGGACUGCCCUUUGACCACCAGCCUACCACCCUACUGCCGACACCGGAAAUUGCCUCACACUGGCGGUCGGCAACCAAAGCUCCCCAUAGCAUCGUUAAACCAUCACGACUUCCCCUAUCUUACCAUGUAAUUAUCUUCUGUCGAACAUAACCCCUUCGUUUCGAAUAUUAUAGGGCCGUCGGAACCACUGUCUCCGGCGACCCUGUUCCAAACCCUCCCACCUUAAGACCCUAGGACCACUAGGAAACCCCUUCCCCGUAGUGCAACCCACUCUCCUCGAAUCCCCUCCCAUCAUCUCAAAUGUUCUCAGAAAGGUUGUCGGAAACCCCAUAUCCGGCGACCCUGUCCCAAAGCCUUCCAAAUUUACACCCUUAAGGCACCUCAACCCCCUCUUUCCAACCAUGCAUGUCACCCCUCUCAAAUCAUCCUGAAACUACUCGAAUUUUGAUUCAAAGGUUACCCCUAAAUCCCAAAACCUGCCAGAAAUGCUUCAAACUCCUCCUAGUCAAUCAUUGCCCCUCUCAAAUCAUCCUAAAAGUUCUCGAAUUGCAAUUCAAAGGUUAACCCUAAAUCCCAAAACCUGCCAGAAAUGCCUCAAACUUCUCCUAGUCAGUCUUUGGUUCCUUUUGACACCAACCAUACCACCCAUGAGUCUCAAACAACCCCAACCACUGAAAAAUUCCAAAUCGGAGACCUUACUGAGGUCUCAGAACCUUGAAAACCCUCUCCUGAGCUUUUAAGUUGAUUAAACACCAUCCUAGGAGGUUCAGAACUAUGUGGAAGGGGUCAAGGUCCAGUUGAAAUUGUUUAAAUGUGAACAAGAAUGAAAAGCUAAGUUUUCUUGCGUAUUUUCAUUUCUUUUUCUUUUGAAAUCUUGAGUUCUUUUAAUAAUUGAUUAGUUUCAGUCUACAUGUCUAAUAGUUGAAGUUCUUUUACUUGAUUUAGUUGUUUGUCUGUUUGUCCACAAGUUCAUCUACUAUAGGUUUCAAUAUUCCUAUGUUUUGUUUGUCACUAGUCUGGAAACCUUCUCGUCGCUGAAGUACUUCAACAUCCUGUUAAAAUUAGCUUUUGAGCGGUGUGAUUCUCAUAACUUGAUGAACUCUAUUGAUUCACUGAUGUUCUGAUUGGUUUGAUUGUUUGUUUAUGCUACUAAAUGCCUGAUCUUUAUUUCAUAAUAGCUUUGGUCCUCAGUGCUGAUAGAUGUAUUCAUUUUCUGGUCAUUUUGAUUUUUUGUGUGUUAAUCUUGUAUAAUGUUUGUGGAAGUCUGUAUUAAGGCAUCUGUGUUAAGCCUUGUUAAUAUAGGCUAAUUCUGAUUUUCAUGAGCCUGUUAGUCUAAAGAGUGACCCAAGUUUGAUUGACCAGGGUCAAUUGUGACUGAACUAGGGUCAAAUAACUGACCAAGGUCAGAUUUCAGGGGGGGGGGGGGUAAUUAGGAAAGGAAGUGAGGGUAUCAGAGGGAUUUGAACAUGUAAAAAACAUGAUAGCAAUCCCUUAGAACCUUCUAGCAAGGGCUAAAACAUAAUUCUUGCCUAAAAAUUGAGGCACAAGUUAGGAAUUGAAGGACUACUUAGGCAAAUUGCAAUUUGAGUUAAGGACUAAAAAGAAAACAAGGCAAAAUCUGAUGCCCUAAAAGCUUUAUUGUAAAAUGAAUCAGCUGGGCAUUGAAAAGGGAUCCGAAAACCUUCUCUUUGAAUACUAGAGCUGAAAUACUUAUUCCUAUAUAUGCAAAAUACCAUCAGUAUUGUUUGGAUCAUUUUUCUAAAGAUUUAACUCUCUAAAAACUCUACUGAAAUCUGGAUACACUGUUCGAUUGGUUGUUGAUUGCUUAGCUGGUCUCUUAUAUUUACUCAUAGGCUUGUUUCUUCUGCUGCAUUACAUGUACCACUCAAUAUUCAUAUAUAUGACGUUCAAGUGAAAUCUAUUCCCAAAUGUGAAGAUCUCAGUUAUCAUUUACAUUUUUUCUAUUUCCCCCAUUUUCCCCUAUUUAGUUUGAAUAUAGGUGUAACAACAAAGUGAUCAUCAUGUUGUAGUGUUAGACUGAUCCAUGUUUGUAAUAAUUUGAUAUUUGGGAUUGUUUCAAUGUGUAAUAAUUGGACAUUCAACUCAAAAUUUUCUUGUAUGUGUUUUAUGUUUGUCAUAAUAUGACAUUUGGGACUAUUUCAAUGUGUAAUAAUUGGACUUUCGACUCAACUUUUUCUUGUAUGUGUUUAAGUAAUAGUCAGUUCCUAUUCUAGUGUAGCUGGUUCAAGUGCUGAUCUUGUGCACCUAGAACUACUAGACUUAGGAAGUAGUAUUUUUAAUAAUCAUGUGAAGAUUAGAAUGCUAUGAAGCAUUUCCGUUCACUUAAAUCUCAGAAUGUUUAGUAAUAGUUUGUUUUUCAAAGUUAUUCCAUGUAGUGUAACCUGAAGCACAAUUGAAUUUCUGAUAUUAGGCUCAUAUACUCUGACUGAUGAGUAUGUGAAUCAUCUGAUUCAAAUCUAUUGUUAGAAAUUAAUAUAAAAAAUGGUUGUUAAUUUUUCCUUCAUAAAUGGGUAGAGAUUCGAUUUUAUAUAUAAUUUCAAACCAAAAUUGGUUAUUAAUAGUUGGACUCUUUCGUUCAAAUCAGUACUGGGCUCAUUCGAGAGGCCCAGUAAGCACCAAAGAAGUUAUAAUAUUACGUGCUUCUGAAUUGGAAGAAUCAAAGGUCCCGGCCAGUCAUGAACCAGGCUCAAUGGUUGUUAGUACAGUGUGCCUUGGGCUGGCACAGAUUUGAGUCCAUGCACACGAUUAGCCGUGAAUGAGGCUAAGUGCAAGUAUUACUUCCCCAAAAAUACACAAUCCAUACGUAGAUUGUUUAGUGUAUUUAUGCACUCGCAAGAGUAGAAAAUGCAACAUGGAUUAGGAUGUCCUAAUAAAAAUAAUGUGAGCCGCGUUGAUUCAAGCAAAUACUAUGUGAUGGUUCCUUAUUCAUUAAAACACAUAGAGAAAUAGGAAGUGUCGUUUAGAAAAUUUCACGGCCUUCCCAUAAAUGCCAAAGACGUAGUUGCUAUAGGCGCGUGUUUAAUAAAAAUACCUUCUUAAAAUUCGGGUGCGCAUUUAUGUGACCCAAAUUCUAUUCUCAAUGGAAUUAAAAUAUGUCUAGAAUUGAUGAAAUACCUUCUUAAAAUUCGGGUGCGCAUUUAUGUGACCCAAAUCCUAUUCUCAAUGGAAUUAAAAUAUGUCUGAAAUAGCGGGUCCAUUUAUGUGACCUGAUUCGUGAUGUGUUUUAGAAACACUGCAAAUUUUCCUAAAACAUAUGUAAAAAGGGGUUAAUAAUCUAAAAUUACGAGUUAACAGGUACAGAAAAUCAUGUUUUAUCCACUUAUAACAAGUUUAAGCAGCCGUGCUAGAACCACGGGAUCCGAGGGUGCUUAACACCUUCCCUCGGGUUAACAGAAUUCCUUACUCAAGAAUUUCUGUUUCGCAGACUCCAUUCGGGAGGUCGAAAAUUUCCUCGAUUUGGGAUGCAAAAUAAACCGGUAACUUUGGGACACUAAAAGCCACGAAUUUCUGGUUCGCGGACUCCAAUUGGGUAGUAGAAAUUUCCUCGAUUUGAGAUUUUGAAAAAAUCGGUGACUUAGGACACUUAAAGCAAAACUUAUCCCAGGGGGCGACUCUUAAAUAAAAUACUUAAUCCCAUUUCGAAUAAUGUCACUUUAAUUGGAAAAACUCCUAUACACGUGUCACCUUUCGGGUUAACCACGUGUAAGCGGUAAAAAGGAGGUGUGACACCAUGUACAUCUUCCUUUGGGGUUUAAAAUGCCGAAAUUCAAGAAGUACGAUGGCCAUGGCGAUCCCAUCGCCCAUCUGAAAAAGUACUGUAAUCAAUUACGUGGAGCCGGCGGGAAGGAAGAGCUCCUGAUGGCGUACUUUGGGGAGAGCCUAGUAGAUAUUGCGUCCGUAUGGUACCUAGAUCAAGACAUUACCCGAUGGCACAUAUGGGAUGACCUUGCCCGGGACUUUGUACGACAAUUCCAGUACAAUAUCGACAUCGCCUUGGAUAGGAAUUCCCUAGCCAAUUUGAUGAAGAAUCCUGCUCGGGACUUUGUAUGAAAAUUCCAAUAUAACAUUGACAUCGCCCCGGAUAGGAAUUCCUUAGCCAAUAUGAAGAAGAAACCUGCUGAAAGCUUCAGAGAGUAUGCUAAUAAAUGGAGAGAGCAAGCAUCUAGGGUGAAGCCUCCUAUGGAUGAACAAAAAUGGUCAUCGUCUUUCUGCAGGCACAAGAGGCAGAUUAUUUUCAGAACAUGAUGUUCGCAAUGGGCAAACCAUUCGCCGAAGCAAUAAAGAUUGGGGAAAUGGUAGAGAAUGGCCUCAAAACAGGGAGGAUUCUAAGUCAAUCUGCCAUAAGAGCCACCUCCCAAGCGAUACAAGGAGGGGCGAGAGGAAUCCCAAGGAACAAGAAAAAAGAGGAAGCAUCCAUGGCAGCCUCUGGGAUGAGGAAGCAGCAAACUCACAGGCAUCCAUUCUUUGAGAGAGUGCCUCAACAUUACUAUCCUCACUGAGACAUGCACUAUGCCCCUCAACCCAACACAGUUAUGAAUGCUCAACCCUUUCCCCGACCUCAACAGCAGAACAAUAGAAAUCAAGCUCCAAGGAAUCAACUUCCUCAAAAUCAUUGCAAUCCCCUCCCUCAGCAAAGUAACUAUCGUCCCAGGGAGCCACCUUGGAGACAGAGAUUCACCAUGAUAGGAGAGUCCUACUCCAUAUUGUUCCCAAAGUUAGUCCAUAUGGGUCUCCUCCAGCCUGUAUCCCUAAAUAGACAGAAUCCUGAAUAACCGUCUUAUCAAAGCCUCCCUCAGAAUCAUUACAAUCCCCGCCCUCAGCAAAAUAACUAUCAUCCCAGGGAGACACCCCGGAGGCAGAACUUCACCCCAAUAGGAGAGUCCUACACCAACAUGUUUCCUAAGCUAGUCCAUAUGGGUCUCCUCCAGCCUGUACCCCCAAACAGACAGAAUCAUGAAUCACUAUCUUAGCAAAGGGGAGUGCGCUGUGCCUACCACUCUGGGGCAGAGGGGCAUGAUACUGAAAUUGCUGGACCUUAAAGCGAGCACUGGAGGACUUGAUUGAUCAAAAGAAGAUAGUUCUAAGAGAUGACGAAGUCCCAAAUGUAACUGAUAACCCGUUACCGGCUCACAACAACGGGCCGGUCAUCGGAAUGAUCUGCGAGGUCAAAGAAUUUGAUCCCGCUCUAAAAGCCAUCAUAACCAUCGCUGAGGCUGAUAGGAAGCCAAAACUCACCCCAAAGAAGAUAGAAGAAAAGAAAACAAACGAAGCCAAGUGCCUUGAAGCAGAAAAUAAGGCUGAGGUUGAAGGUGAUACAACCCCCCCCCCCCUAAAGAGAAAAUACAUACAGGCUGACCACAGUUGGGUCAGACCUGAGUGGCCCAACCUGUCUUUUCCCUUUAAUACAAUACACAACCCAGUCCCAAAUUAUCGCCCCAGUCCAUGUCCACACCCAUUGAACUAAACGACACUGUUUAGAAGCCCCAUCAUCACAGUCGUUGAUCUAAGCCCACCCAAAAAGGUUCGAUCUGAACAAAACUAUGUACAUACCCAAGAAGGCCUAUGUGGUACGGGGAUCGAUUAAGCCAUCGUGCUGAAUGAGCCCGUGGUUAUUGGUUGCAUGCCACAAGAACCCAUCACCAAUCCUUCAGUCGUCCCUUGGAAUUAUCAGGAAACCAUUGUUACAUAUAAGGGCAAAGAAGUCCUCGGGGAAGCCCAAAAGGGAUGUUCAACCAAGAAAUACCUAGACAUGGAAGAGGUUAAUGCCACUACCAAACGUCGACUUCCACCAAAGUAGCCAGUGAAUGCUGAGGAAGCAGAAGCGUUUUUCCAAAAAAUGAAAAUGUCGGAGUACAAAGUGGUAGAGGAUGUCCCACCAAGAAAUACCUGGACAUGGAAGAGGUGAAUGCCACUAGCAAACGGCGAUUUCCGCCAAAGAAGCCAGUGAAUGCUGAGGAAGCAGAAGCCUUUUUCUAGAAAAUGAAGAUGCCGGAGUACGAAGUGGUAGAUCAACUCUGAAAAUCCCCUGAACAGAUUUCUCUACUGUCACUCUUGAUGAAAUCUCCCGAGCAUCAACAGGUGUUGGCCAAGACAUUAAACAAAGCUUAUAUGACAGCGGAGACCUCUGUAGAAUAGUUAGAGAAAAUUGCGGAGAGAUUCUUCGCUCUCAAUCAAAUAAUUCCAGCUAAGACCUCUGUAGAACAGCUAGAGAAAAUGGCGGAGAGAUUCUUCUCUAUCAAUCAGAUAUCGUUCAGUAAGAAUGACCUACCCUCGGAGGGAGCUACUCACAACAAGGCUUCGCACCUCAUUGUCAAAUGUAAGAGAUAUUAUGUCAAGAGAGUGGUAGUGGACGGAGGUUCCAGAGUAGACAUAUGCCCACUAUCUACCCUGCAGAGAAUGGAGAUCAGGACAGGGAGGAUUCCCCCUAACAACAUAUAUGUCCGAGCCUUUGAUGGAAUUAAAAGGGAUAUCAUAGGUGAAAUCGAUUUGGUGCUCACCCUUGGUCCAGUCGACUUUGAAGUAACAUUCCAGGUGUUGGACAUGGACACCUGCACCAAAUGCUGAAAUUUGAGUAUGAAAAUCAGGAGAUUGUAGUUCAUUGAGAGGACGAACAAUCAAUUUACUGGGACCCCUCUAUCCCAUGUCUAGAAGCCAAGGAAGGGAGUGAACACAUAGUCUAUCAAGCUUUUGAAGUCGUAGUAGCUUAUCAGCAUGAAGAGGGCAAGCCGCUUUCUUAGCCUUUCCUGUCAAAUGCUUUAAUUAUGGUCGCAAACAAAAUGAUGCGCCAAGGCUUCAAGCCAUGCAAGGGACUCGGAAGCUCCCUACAAGGCAUAAUCGAGCCAAUCCCCUUGCCUUCCACAGAAAAGUUCUUUGGACUGGGAUUAAUUAUGGCACAAAGGAAAUGACGCGCCAAGGCUUCAUGUCAAGCAAGGGACUCGAAAGCUCUCUACAAGGCAUAACCGACCACUCGCCUUUCCUGCCACAGAAAAGUUCUUUGGACUGGGAUUUCAUCCAACCUCAGAAGAUAUCCCCUGGACUAAUCGCAGAAAGCACCAAGGAUGGACCUUACCACGACCCCUGCCUCAUUGGUACAAAACCUUCAUAAAACCAAAGCACGGUGAAGAAGAGGAAGAGAAACCUUCACGGCUGAAGAAAUCAAUGAAAUCAAUAUUUUUCAUUUCUCUGUCUUUCUCUGAUUUUCGUCUUCCUUUAUUUUUCAUCUUUUUCAGCCUCAAUAAUGCGGCUUUAAACAAAAAGACAUGCUUGUAGACUUCUUGCCACGACCUGAACCCGCUGCCCGUCUGUGAAAUAACAAACCAAGAGUCGGAAUAUAAUGAAGAAGAGGCUUUUAGGGAAAUCACUCGAGAAUUGGAACACUUUGAGAACAAACCUAAGUGCAACUUAAAUGAUACUGAACCGAUUAACCUGGGCGAUCUCGAUGAAACCAAAGAAACAAAAAUAAGCAUCCACGUAAAUGAAGAGAUACGGGAUUCAUUGGUCAACUCAUGUUAGAAUUCAAGGACGUAUUUGCAUGGUGCUAUGAUAACAUGCCUGGUCUGAGUAUGAAUUUGGUGGUUCAUAAGUUGCCUACAUACCCCGAGUUCCCCCCAGUACAACAAAAGCAAAGAAAGUUCAAGCCUGAUGUCAGUGAUAAAAUCAAAGAGGAAAUUNNNNNNNNNNNNNNNNNAGCCAAAAGGAUGAAGAAGAUGCUGAGAAAACCGUCUUCACCACACCUUGGAGAACAUAUUAUUAUAGAGUAAUGCCUUUUGGAUUGAAAAAUGCUGGGGCAACCUACAUGAAGGCUAUGACCACCAUCUUCCACGACAUGAUGCAUAGAGAAAUAGAGGUAUACGUGGAUGAAGUGAUUAUCAAAUAUAAAACUCAGGGCGAUCAUGUAAAGGAUAUGAGGAAAAUCUUCGAAAGGCUCCGCAAAUAUAAUUUGAAAUUGAAUCCGGCAAAAUGCGCAUUUGGAGUUCCUUCAAGAAAACUUUUGGGGUUCAUCGUCAGUCGGAGAGGCACUAAAUUAUAUCAAACCAAGAUCAAAUCCAUUCAAGAGUUGCCCCCGCCGAGGCCAAAAAAGGAUGUGAUGAGUCUAUUAAGGCGAUUAAAUUAUAUCAGCCGAUGCAUCGCCCAAAGUUCCGCCAAAACCAGGAAGGCCAUUGUUUCUCUAUCUGACGGUCUUGGAAGGCUCUUUCGGUUGUAUACUCGGGUAGCAUGACGCCAUGGGAAAGAAAGAGAAGGCCAUUUAUUAUCUGAGAAAAGCGUUUACCGGCUACGAGGCCAAGUACACACUGUUGGAGAGAACGUGUUGCGCCUUGACAUGGCUAGCUCAGAAGCUGAGGCAUUAUUAACUCAUACGACGUACCUCAUAGCCAGGCUGGAUCCACUAAGGUACAUAUUCCAAAAAGCAAUGCCCACAAGGCGACUGGCCAAAUGGCAGAUCUUGCUUACCGAGUUCGACAUUGUUUAUGUCACUCGUACGGCGAUNNNNNNNNNNNNNNNNNNNNNNNNNNNNNNNNNNNNNNNNNNNNNNNNNNNNNNNNNNNNNNNNNNNNNNNNNNNNNNNNNNNNNNNNNNNNNNNNNNNNNNNNNNNNNNNNNNNNNNNNNNNNNNNNNNNNNNNNNNAGCAGAAAACCCCGUUGAUGACGAGUAUCAGCCUUUAAACACUUACUUCCCUGACAAAGAAGUGAACUCAUUGGAAAUAGCAGUUGAGGACACCCCGUCUGGAAAAUGUUCUUCGGUGGAGCAGCAAAUGCAAAGGGCGUAGGGAUCGGGGCAAUCCUAAUCUCACCUACAAGAUAACAUAAUCCAGCUACAGCCAGACUUCGUUUCUUUUGCACCAAUAAUACCACAGAAUAUGAGGCUUGCAUCAUGGGUAUGAAUAUGGCUAUUAACCGAGAUGUCGAAGAGUUGCUAAUCAUGGGGGAUUCCGAUCUAAUCAUCUGAAAAGCUCAAGGAGAAUGGGAGACAAGGGACAUUAAGCUCCUCCCGUAUAGACAGCAUGUCGAAGACCUCAACAAAUGGUUCAGGUCGGUACAGUUCAGGUACAUUCCCACUUGUCACAACGAGUUAGCGGAUGCACUUGCAACCAUAGCCUCCACGCUGCCAUACCCUGGGAAUGCCUAUGGUGAUCCAUUACAAAUCCAAAUCUGAUAAAGACAUGGGUAUUGUAAUGAAACCGAAGCAGAGCCUAGCCCACAACCUUGGUAUUACGACAUUUUGAGAUUCCUAAAGACACAGGAGUACCCUGAGCAAGCCACAGGAGAACAAAAGAAUACCAUCCGACGGCAUGCGAGCAACUUCUUCAUAAGUGGUGACACUUUGUAUAAAAGAACUCCGGAUCUUAAUAUGUUGAGAUGUGUGGAUGCCGAAGAAGCUGGGAGAAUUAUGCACGAAGUACAUGCGGGCGUAUGUGGGGCCCAUAUGAAUGGCUAUGUAUUGGAAAAGAAGAUACUCCAAGAUGGUUAUUGUUGGAUGACCAUGGAAAAAACCUGUUUCAGCUUUGUACGAAAAUGUCAUCAAUGCCAGGUGCACGGUGAUCUGAUUCAUGCACCGCCAAAUGAGUAGUAUCCUAUGUCAGCACCCUGGCCAUCUGCCGCUUGGGGAAUGGACGUCAUUGGGCCGAUCGAGCCAAAAGCCUCAAGUGGGCACAGAUUUAUGUUGGUCGCUAUUGAUUAUUUCACAAAAUGGGUUGAGGUCAUCACCCUCAAGUUUGUCACCAAGAAAAAGGUGGUGGAUUUCGUGCAUUCCAACAUCAUUUGCUGUUUUGGGAUCCCGGCUACCAUCAUUACUGACAACGCAGCUGAUCUAAACAGUCAGCUGAUGGGAGAGAUAUGUGAACAAUUCAAAAUAACACAUAGAAACUCCACUCCUUACCGACCUAAAGCUAAUGGUGCAGUCGAAGCAGCCAACAAGAACAUCAAUAAGAUCUUGAGGAAAAUGAUUCAAAGUUCGAGGAAAUGGCAUGAAAAGCUGCCUUUCGCAUUGAUGGGUAGUCGAAGCAGCCAACAAGAAAAUCAAGAAGAUUUCGAGGAAAAUGAUUCAAUGCUCGAGGCAAUGGCAUGAAAAGUGGCCUUUCGCAUUGUUGGGAUAUCGUACCACAGUACGUACAUCUGUAGGAGUAGCCCCCUAUUUGCUGGUCUAUGGAACUGAGGCUGUUAUACUUGCCGAAGUGGAAAUCUCUUCGCUCCAAGUGAUUGUAGAAGUAGAAAUCGAAGAUACUGAAUGGCCGCAGUAUGCCACGGGUAGUCGUACCAACAAAGAAUGGCCCGCGCCUACAACAAGAAAGUGUGCCCUUGGAAUUUUGAAAUCGGGCAACUGGUUUUGAGACGGAUACUUCCCCAUCAUCAGGAGGCCAAAGAAAAAUUCUCCCCAAAUUGGAAAGGCCCAUACAUCAUCAGGAAGAUAUUUCCUGUGGGAGCAUUGUACUUGGGCGACGUUUAAGGAGACGAGCCCGAAGAAGCGGGAAACGCAGACGCAGUUAAAAGGUAUUAUGUUUAAAUCCCUUGCAACAAUUACCCCGGUGGAUCGAAAGGACGAAGGUUUUAUUCUCCCGCUAUCCCCCACCGUCUUUGUAACCCAGAAAGAAAGGAAAGAAAAUUCAAAAAAAAAACCACAAAAAAACAAAGAACAAUCUAAAAUAAGGACCCCAUGUCCAAUUGACAAAGCAAGGAUUGAAAGCCAAGGGUUCGCUUUGAAUACAAAGGAAGUCGAGAUCAAGCGUGACAAGGCCGCAAGACCAAUCACUGUUCAAACUAACAGUUUGUUUUGUCUCUGAACCAAAAUAAAUGCAGGUGCAACUUAGAGAAGCAAAAAGGAACAUGGGGCAAAAACAACCCAAGGGUACACGCAAAGGUGGUGGUGCGUCAAUGACAUAAAGGAAGUUUUCUUUUCCUUUUUCUGCAAACUAAUAAAUGAGCAUGACAGCACGAGAUCCCAAUCCAUAAUUCCCCUUUGUAUAGCUUGUGGACUUCAUAGGCAUUACCUAAGGAUCGCAUUCCACCCCUUCCAGCAUAAAUCGAGGAAGUUUCCCUUCACAUCCCCAGCAUAACCUGAGAACUCCUCCCCUAUACUCUCCACUCCCCAGCAUAGUCUAGGAGCUAACGCUACUACGCCCUAAGUUAUUCCUCUCUUCAUCUAUCCCCAGCACAAUCAAAAGGAUCUCUGAGGUCCUCCGCUACCCUGCAUAUUCCCCUAGCAUAACCUAGGAUUGUGCAUUCAUCCCGGCAUAACCCGUGGAUUCCCCUGACAUAACUCAGGAUCUCUUUUCAUCCCUAGCAUAACCUAGGAUUUCUCACUCAUCCCGUCAUAACAUGUGGAUUCCCCUGACAUAUCUCAGGAUCUCUUUUCAUCCCGGCAUAAUCCGCGGAUUCCCCUAGCAUAACCUAGGAUUUUUGUUUCAUCCCGGCAUAACCCGUGGAUCCCCCUAGCAUAACCAAGGAUUUCUCAUUCAUCCCGGCAUAACCCAAGGAUAUCCCUAGCAUAACCUAGGAUUUAUCAUUCAUCCCGGCAUAACCCGAGGAUAUCCCUAGCAUAACCUAGGAUUUUUUUAUUCAUCCCGGCAUAACCCGUGGAUUUCCCUGACAUAAUUCAGGAUCUAUUUUCAUCCCGGCAUAACCCGUGGAUCUCCCUAGCAUAAACUAGGAUAUCUCUAUUAUCCCGUCAUAAACCGUGGAUUCCCCUAGCAUAACCUAGGACUUUUCAUUCGUCCCGGCAUAACCCGUGGAUUCCCCUUGCAUAACCUAGGAUUUUUCAUUCGUUCCGGCAUAACCCGGGGAUUCCCCUAGCAUAACCUAGGAUUUUUCAUUCGUCCCGGCAUAACCCGCGGAUUCCCCUGGCAUAACCCAGGAAUUUAUUCACAACCCAUCCUCAGCAGGAACUUUCCUAUUCCGGCAUAACCCGCGGAGCUUUUCUGUUCCUCCCCACAGAGACCUUUUCAUUCUUAUCCCGGCAUAAACCGAGGAUUCUCAUCUUAUUCCCUAGCAGAAACCAUUUGUCCUCCCUAGAAUAACCUGGCGAUCUUUCCAAGGAAUACACAAUUCCAAUCCUUAUUGUUUAAUAAAGAGUAGCAUGGAUGUGUGUUACAAAUAACUCACGAAAUUUUUCAGUGAAACUAGGGCAAAAAAUUUCGUUCAUUUAUUUGUUUUGUUGUCCGAGCAGGUGUCACCUUAAAACACAAGAUUCGGCAUAAUUGAAGGCAUGAGUGUCAAUUCAGAACAGAAGAAAAGAAAAGAGACAAAAGGUUGAACUCAAAUGAUGAGGCGAAGAAGGAUACGGACUGCUCAAAAUAUAACUAAUGUCACAAGCUCAUCAUAUCCUGUUUUUUUUCAAGAUUGGAGAUUGAGCCAGCAGCUGCAAUUAACGAGCAUCAAGAUUCAGAUCGAAGUUUGCCACGAAAGAUAGCCGAGACUCAAGAUCAAGCUUCAAGAGACUGAUAGAUAGCAAUCUUGUAACUUGUAGUUGAUAGGUUUAGCUAGCUUAGUUUUUCAUUUUCUUUCGGUUUAGCAAGCAGAAACAGCAGCAACAGCAGCCAAUCACAAUCUCCCUGUAGUCCCAGCUACCAAAAUUUUCAUAACUACACUGACCUGAUUCAUUUAUUGCUAAGGAUAUGUAGGCAACUUUUGAAGCAAUGUUCGGUCAGAAAAUUUUCAAAGCGCUUCACAUAGAGUAUUCAAUCAGACGGAAAUUGCUCAUAUUUGCUCACUUGUCUUUGCACGAAAACUCUUUGUGUUCCCGCGCAAAGAGGGGCAGCUGUGAGCAUAUGAUUUUUACCCGGUAGAACCAUGCUCCUACAUGACUCUUUUAGUUUAGGAUUUUCUUUAAAAUAUUAGGAUUUUAAUUUUAGGAUUUAAUUUCAUGCGCAUGUUCAUUAAUGUGUGUUUUAAUAUUGAUUAGGACUUAAUAAAUUUGUUCUACAAAUUAAAAUACAAAAAAAUAUAUGCAUGUCCGACAUUUGAAUUUUUUUGUUUAAUUUUGACUUGGUUUGGUUUUUUAUUUGUGAUAAUUAGGAAUUUGUGGUUGUAAGUAAAGUUAGAAAUUAUUUUUUAAUUAAAAGAAAAAAGACAAAAAAAUAUAUUUGUAUAUAUAUAUAUAUACACAGCCACUCAGCUAGCCACAAUUGGGCCAGACCUGAGUGGCCCAACCUGCUUCACCUUUUGAACAAUGCACAACCCAGCCCAAACCAUCGCCCAGUCCAGUCCACACCCAACGAACCAAACGACACCGUUUUCAAAGAAGGGCUCAUCACAUCCGUCCAUCCCCAUCUCAUCCAACAGCCACGAAACCCCCUUCAUUUUCGUAUACAUAUGUACAAAUGUCUCUAAUACAAUCAAAGAGCAAACACUCUUAUCCUCGCACUGUCUUCUCCGACCUAACAACACCUAUUUUGACCAUCCCUUGACCACCCUUUGACCACCGGCCUACCACCCUAGUGCCGCCAGAAAUCGCCUCACGGCGGCGGCCGACAACCAAACCUCCCCAGAUUAAAAUCGUUAAACUGUCACGACCUCCCCUAUCCCGUCCCGUGGUCAUUUUCCGUCGAACAUGUCCCUUUUGUCUCGAAUCUUCAAAAACAAGNNNNNNNNNNNNNNNNNNNNNNNNNNNNNNNNNNNNNNNNNNNNNNNNNNNNNNNNNNNNNNNNNNNNNNNNNNNNNNNNNNNNNNNNNNNNNNNNNNNNNNNNNNNNNNNNNNNNNNNNNNNNNNNNNNNNNNNNNNNNNNNNNNNNNNNNNNNNNNNNNNNNNNNNNNNNNNNNNNNNNNNNNNNNNNNNNNNNNNNNNNNNNNNNNNNNNNNNNNNNNNNNNNNNNNNNNNNNNNNNNNNNNNNNNNNNNNNNNNNNNNNNNNNNNNNNNNNNNNNNNNNNNNNNNNNNNNNNNNNNNNNNNNNNNNNNNNNNNNNNNNNNNNNNNNNNNNNNNNNNNNNNNNNNNNNNNNNNNNNNNNNNNNNNNNNNNNNNNNNNNNNNNNNNNNNNNNNNNNNNNNNNNNNNNNNNNNNNNNNNNNNNNNNNNNNNNNNNNNNNNNNNNNNNNNNNNNNNNNNNNNNNNNNNNNNNNNNNNNNNNNNNNNNNNNNNNNNNNNNNNNNNNNNNNNNNNNNNNNNNNNNNNNNNNNNNNNNNNNNNNNNNNNNNNNNNNNNNNNNNNNNNNNNNNNNNNNNNNNNNNNNNNNNNNNNNNNNNNNNNNNNNNNNNNNNNNNNNNNNNNNNNNNNNNNNNNNNNNNNNNNNNNNNNNNNNNNNNNNNNNNNNNNNNNNNNNNNNNNNNNNNNNNNNNNNNNNNNNNNNNNNNNNNNNNNNNNNNNNNNNNNNNNNNNNNNNNNNNNNNNNNNNNNNNNNNNNNNNNNNNNNNNNNNNNNNNNNNNNNNNNNNNNNNNNNNNNNNNNNNNNNNNNNNNNNNNNNNNNNNNNNNNNNNNNNNNNNNNNNNNNNNNNNNNNNNNNNNNNNNNNNNNNNNNNNNNNNNNNNNNNNNNNNNNNNNNNNNNNNNNNNNNNNNNNNNNNNNNNNNNNNNNNNNNNNNNNNNNNNNNNNNNNNNNNNNNNNNNNNNNNNNNNNNNNNNNNNNNNNNNNNNNNNNNNNNNNNNNNNNNNNNNNNNNNNNNNNNNNNNNNNNNNNNNNNNNNNNNNNNNNNNNNNNNNNNNNNNNNNNNNNNNNNNNNNNNNNNNNNNNNNNNNNNNNNNNNNNNNNNNNNNNNNNAGUUCAUCUGAAAUAGGUUUCAAUAUUCAUAUGCUUUGUUUGACACUAGUCUGGAAGUCUCUUCGUCUCUUGAAUAAUUGCAUAUCCUGUUAAUAUCAUCUCCUUGAUCUUGAAGGUUUAGUUAAUUCUUCAGUAAUGUGAUUUUUAGGGGUUAAUUGACACCCAUCUUCUUAUUCUAUGAUUUUUGGUUCGCCCCUAAGUAUUUGAUUGCCAUACUGAACUUGAUUUUUUUUAGUAUUGAUGUUGGUUUAAGCUGAUUCGGGAGGUUGGGACCUUUAAUUGUUCAGUGGUAGCAUUUACUUGCUUCCUAAGAUGAUUCCUGAACUAAAUACUCACCCAUUGCUGUGUGUUUCUCAUUGUUAAGUAUUUCUGAAGCAUUUUAAUUGAGGCAUUUCUGAAAACUGAGUGUUGAUAAAUGUAUUCUUUCUUAUGGUCCUUUGUUUUGAUAAUCCUAUAUAAUGUUUGGAUGUGGAAGUCUAUAUUAAGGCAUCUGUAUUGAACCUUGAUAAUUUUGGCUAAUUCUGAACUUUCACAAGUUUGCUAGUCUAAGGACAAACCUUGACCCAUAAUCCAAAUACAAUUGACCAGGGUUAAAGAAUAGCUAAGGUUAAUAAACUUCAGGGGGUAAUUAGGAAAGGAAAUGAGGGUAUAAGAGGGAUUUCCACAUUUAAAAUAAUCCAAUAGUGAUGCCUUAGAACCUUCUAGGAAGGACUAAAACAUUAUUCCUACCUAAAACUUGAGGCACAAGUCAGGAAUUGAAGGACUAUUUAGGCAAAGUGCAAAUUUUAGUUAAGGACUAAAAGGAAAACAAGAGGAAAAUCUGAUGCCCUAAGGCUUUACUGUAAAAAGAACCAUCUAGGCAUUUUUAAAGAGACCUCAGACCCGGAACCUUCUCUUUGAGUACUAAAGCUGAAAUACAUAUUCCUAUAUCUGAAAGUACCAUUAGUGCUAUUUGAAUCAUUUUCUGAAGACCUAAUUCUCUAAAAACUCUGCUGAAGUCCUGGAUGCACUGUGUAUUUGGCUGUUGAUUGCUUAGCUGGUCUCUUCAAUUUAUUCAUAUGCUUGUUUCUCUGAUGCAUUACAGAAUGUUCAUGUAUAUAUGAAGUUCAAGUGAAAGAUAUAUUUCCAAAAGUGAAGAUCUCCAAUUGUUAUAUGUAUUUUGAAUUAUUUCCCCUUUUUCCCCUAUUUAGUUUGAAUAUAGGUGUAAUAAUAAGAUGACUAUCCUGAUGUAAUUUAACUUUUGGACUGAUUCAUUCUGUAAUAACUGGACUUUAGAGACUGACUUAUUUGUAAUAAUCAUGACAUUCAAAGCAUGAAUAGCGUAUAGUAUAGUUCACUAAGUUAUUUAUUCAUUUUAGAUGUUAUUUCCUGCGUGGCUUUAAAUGAAGGACUCAGAAAAUAUUAGCUUAAUAUCUUGUUGAAGUCCAAAUACUGUGUAAUGUUUUAAUCCUUCUAGAUUUCAACACGAUUGUCCAUGCUUGUUUCAGAUCUAUAGGCUGUGACCAAAGACAUAAUUGAAUUUUGAAGAACUAGAUUCAUAUACUCUGACUGACGAGUAUAUGAAUCAUUGGGUUUAGAUCCAAUGUUAAUGUUUUAAAAAACAAUGACUGUUAGUAUUUUCUUUGGGAAUGUGUAUUUUCUUUGGGAAUGUUUUAAUUCAUUUAGAUUUCAACUUUGUAUAUAAUUUUGAACCCAAAACGGUUACUAAAAAUUGGACUCUUUUGUCCAAAUCAACAUUGGGCUCAUUCGUGAGGCCCAGUAAGCACCAAAAUGUUGUAAUCCAACAUGUCUUCUGGGUUGAGUGACUAGAAAACCAAACCAGUCACAACCUAAGCUAUAUGUACUCCUGGGCUGGCCCAAACUUAAUUUAUUAUGUGUAAUUGGCCAUGAACGAGGCUAAGACACAUGUAGUGUUUCCCAAGUACACAUUUUACACAUAAAGUAAUUAAUGUAUUUAAGUACAGCUAUAAUAGAGAACUUAGCACACUUUAGAAUGUCCUUAUCAAAUAAAGUGAGCCACGUUAAUCCCAUCAAACAUCAUGCAAUGGCUCCUUAAUUCAUUAAAAUACAUAGAAAAAUAGGACGGGCCGUUUAGCGAAUUUCACGAUCUUCCCACAAAUCUCGAAGACGUAGUUGCUAUAGGCGCGCAUAUUUAAUAAAAUACCUUCCAAAAUUCAGGUGCAUAUUUAUGUGACCCAAAUCCUAUUCUCAAUGGAAUUAAAAUAUGUCUAAAAUUACGGGUGCAUUUACGUGACGUGAUUCAUGGCGUGUUUUAAUAACAUUGCAAAUUUUCCUACAAAAUAUGUUAAAAGCGGUUAAUAAUCUAAAUUGCGGGUUGACAGGUAUAGCAAAUCAUAUUUCAGCCACUUGUAAUGAGUUUAAGCGACAGUAUUCCUUACUCUAGAAUUUCUGAUUCGCAGGUCUAAUUGGGUAGUCAAAAUUUCCUCGAUUUGGGAUUUCAAAUAAACCGGUAACUUGGGAUACCAAAAGCCAAAUUCAUCCCAAGUAGCGACUCUUGAAAUAAAUAAUUAAUCCCAUCUUGAAUAAUGUCACUUUAAUUGAAAAAACUCCUAUACACGUGUCUCCCUUCGGCGUAACCACGUGUAAGCGGUAAAAAGGAAGUGUGACACAGGCAGGCUUCUUAAUAUUUGCAGGAAUAUCAAACGAGUACGAGUGAUAUUCAGGAGAGUGGUACUGCUCUUGAUGUGUAGCAAAUUAUGACUCAUGAUAAGGUUCUCCUUGGCCAUUAGCCCAUGCUUGACACAUUUUGGUCAUUUGCUGUUUCAGUAUUCUAUUUUCUUCAACCACAGUAGACUCUUGUUGAACCCUCUGACCUUGAAUCUCUCGAGCACUUGUAAGAGCUUCGACGUCAGUUAUCAUUUUUCCUUAAAUCUUGUGCUAUUACUUACCACAAACAGACCAUCUCAAACUUUCUUCACAAUUCUAAACAAAAGACAUGUUAGAAUGGACUCAGUCAGUCUUUAUUAUUAUCUUUUCACUCUUGUUUUUCUUUUCUUCUUCUUCUUUUUUUCCCCUUUUUUUUCUCUUUUUCUCAUUUUCCUUUUCCAUGGUUGAUCGAACCUGCUGUGGGUUGCCUAUGUAUCAUGACACCGUAUGAAUCAGAUCUUGCGUAGUUCGAAAGAUUAGGAAUAAAGAAAUAAAAUAAAUUUAUAUUUUUAUGGAUUUUAAAUUUUCUCUUUUUUUUCACUCUAUUUUUAGAAGAAAGAGUGAUAAAUAAGAAAGAGAAUAUUUCUAGAUUUUGAUUUUUUCCAAGCACUUUUGCAAAUUUAAGACUUCUAAAGAAGAAAGAUUUUUUUUUCUUUUUAUUGCUUUGUUUUUUGGAAUUUCGAAAGAAAUUUUUUUAAAGAAGACAAAAAAAAUAUUUUUGCAUGUAUAGAUUUUUAUUCUGAAGUUAGGAAAGAAGUACUUCUAAGAAAAAGAAAGUAUUUUUUGAAUCUUGAGUUUUCUUUUCAAUUUUCGAAAGAAGAAUGAAAAUACUAUUGAAUUUUUAAUUUUUUUUUUCGAAACUUUGUAAAGAAAACUUCUAAAGAAGAAAGAAAAUAUUUUUUUUUGGAUUUUCGAUAUUUUUAUUAAAUUUUUUAAAAAAAUACUUCUAAAUAAAAGAGAAGAUAUUUUUGAAUCUUGAUUUUUCCUCUGAAUUUUUGAAAGAAGAAUGAAAAUAUUUUUUUUUAUUUUGAGAAGACACUAAAAGAAAAUAUUUUUUUGUAUUUUUUAAUAAUUGAGGUCUCAAAGAAAACUUUCCUAAACAAGGAAGUAAAAGAAAUUUUGAUUUUUGAUUUUUUUGAAAAUUGGGGUCUUAAAAAAGACCUUUUUUAAAAAGUAAAUAUUUUGGACUUUUGUUGAGGGGAUUUUUUAAAAAAAAAUAUGGGUCAUAAAGAAAGACCCCUUUUUUUAUUAAAAGAAAUAAAUAAAAAUAUUUUUAGAUUUUUUAAAAAUUGUGGGCCGGAAUCGAUGAGGUAUCCAAUAUUCGGUGAGAAUCAGACCCGCGUAGUUCUGCCUGAUUUGACGGAAUAGGGAAAACAUGGCACUUGAUAUUUUGACUCAUUUUGAAAUGGCUUUUCAUUUUUUCAGAAUUCCAGCAGAGUUUCAGAAUACUCUAAAUACUUACCUCUCAUAUUUUUUCCGUUUUUUUUUUCCGUUUUUUUCUUUUUGAUUUUCUUCCUCUAUUCUAAAAGCCCAUCAACACGCAAGCCUGAACAGACAGAUAUGCAAGUAGCACGUAAGAUGCAUCAGGAUGGUCUUUUCCAUUUAGGUAAACAUGUCCUAACGGACCCUAAGAUCAAAUGCACAUGAUGCAAACAAACAUUCCUACAACAGAUCCGACAUGAGGCUGAAUUAUUCAAAGUUCAAAACCUGGGUACAUGUUCUACACAGUGUACUCGAGCUGAGGAGGGGGCUACGUACCGGGAACCAAAAGGCCAUCCACAUUAGUAACUUGUCGGAGCCUCUUUCUUAUUUCGAGGUAUGACACUAACAGAAUAAGGAGUCUCGACCAAUGAGCACAAAUGGGAAAAGAAGAGUUUUGUAGAAUUUUUAUAUACAAUUCACAGAAAAUCAAAGCGAUAAAAACAUUUAGCACAUUAAGCUCAAACAUGUAGGACAAUCAGAUAAUAGAUAAAUCCAAUCAUAACAGAUAUUCUAAGCUCGAAUUCUUGAACCCUAAACUAGAGAUUCUGGGUUCGUGCUCCAGCAGAGUCGCUAGAGCUGUCACACCUUCUUUUAAGACUACACCGCAGCGAAGGGCAUAAAUAAGGGAGUUCUUCCAAUUAAUGAACAAUCGAAACGGAAUUUAUUUAUUUUAAGAUUUUAGAGUCACCACUUGGGAUAAUUUAUGGUGUCCCAAGUCACCGGUUUAAAGUCCCAAAUCGAGGAAGGUUUGACUCUGCAAUACAGUUUGCGAGCCAGAAAUUCAUGUAAGGAAUUCUGUUAACCCGGGAGAAGAUGUUAGGCAUUUUCGAGUUCCGUGGUUCUAGCACGGUUUCUCAACUAUUAUAUUUGGCCUAUUUACUUGAUUUUAACACAUGUUUGAACCUAUGGUGCAAUUUUAACCUUUAACCGCUUUUAUUAUUUCAAGAUAAUUGCAACGUUGUUAAAACAUGUCUCGAGCCACGUCACAUAAAUGCAACCGCUGUCUUCGACAUAUCUUAACAUUGUUGGGAUUUAGAUUUGGGUCACAUAAAUGCGCACCCGAAUUUAGGAAGGUAUAUUUUUAAAUAACUCGCCUAAAGAAAUUACGCGUUUAAAUUUGCGAGGACCAUGAAAAUUCGCUAAAUGACGCACCUCGAUGUCUAAGGACAAAACAUUAAUUAAAUUAGGGCCCUGCAUUUAAAAUUUUUGUUUGGCACAGUACGCCUCAAUAUAUUCUAACUAAGAGGUUUUUAAAUUAAAUAUGAGAGCCUUAUUAUAUAUUUUGACUAAUAUGGUACACCUCUAAUCAUUUAAAAGGGUCUUAUUAACAAAAUGAAGUGUCACGGCAAUGAGCACAUUUGACAACGACAAUUAGCUAUACUUACUAAAUAGCUUCUAUCCUCCACCACAUACAAUCAUCACAUGCCACCUAAUGUUGACCAACCCAAACACCAAAAAUAUCAUAGAAAAUAUUUCCUAAACUAAAAUAUUAAUACAUUUUUCCACAUAGCUAACUCACAAGAUCUGGACAAAGGGAAACAUGGAGGAAGAUUAUACUAAUUCAAAUUUUCAAGAAUAUAACAACUAAUUAAUGGGGACGAAAAAAACACACGGAAAAAUAGAUGAAGCUUUGACAGAUAGUUAAGUGAAGCUCCCAAUUAACAAUAAUUAAAAUUUGCAUCAUAACUUACCAAAUCUAACGACAAACCAUGCGUUUCAAGUGAAUCCAAGCCCCUAAACGUUAACACAAUUUUAGUAGUAGACUAUUUCCAAAUUAGUUCUCCAAUAUAUACACUGUUAACAACAGAAAGUCAAAUAACUAGAGCAAUUGCACUACUGCAAGCUAAACACACAAUUAAUCAUUACUCUAAGAACAGACCCAUACAAAAGACAACUCAACAAAAUCUCAAUAUUUAUCAACAUUGUUUCAAACUGAACGAACAAAUUGAUCAUAAAUAAAUAGAUAAGAGUCAGCGACAAAAAUGUUAAACAUUAACCUAAGAAAUGACCAAAUCAUGAUUUAUCUACGUCGAGCAAAAAUUGCAAAGCAGAAAAGGAACGCACCUCAAAACAAAGCCAUUUUCGAAUAUGAUAAUACUUAGCGCUGGAAACCAUAGACAGGUACAACCUCGACGGAACUGCAAAUCUACCCGGUAGACCUCGGAUUACGACCUUCGACGAACUCGGAACUCGCCGGAAAACUCAAAUUAAACCAAAACUCACCAGAAAAUAGUUGUGGUUAUGUUGCGAUGCUACUGAUUUGGAGUUGUGUUUCCCUGGGGGUUUGACGGAGGAUUUGCGUAAGAAGGUGUGGCUCGCCGGAUUUGAAGAGAAAAUGGAUAUGGUUCUCCCAAAUGGCAAAAGCAAGAGAAGCUCUUAAAUUAAUAUGGUCAAUCUGGACGAUGAGCUCAAAUUCGUAAGCUAUAUUUGGUUUUUUGUGUUCCGAAGUCACGAUCUCUUUUUGGGGGUGACUCUUAAGGGAAUUUAGGAUUUUGGGGUUUUUGGAAGAUAGCAAGUGAAUCCCUCUUCAAAAAUGGAGAUGGCAGUGUUCUAUUUUGGAGUCUUACUCUUCUUUUUGAUUUUUUUGGUUUUUUAAAAAACCUUACGGAAAAAC
Molecule: long non-coding RNA, 29822 nt
Filed under: Nicotiana benthamiana
Lineage: Eukaryota; Viridiplantae; Streptophyta; Magnoliopsida; Solanales; Solanaceae
Description: long non-coding RNA (NBEN_LNC019644)
Source: RNAcentral